GAAUAUUAGUCAAUGAUCGAAAGAUUGACCCAGUUAUCUAUAAUAAUGAAAUUAAAAUAAAUUUUUGAAAAAAAAAGAAAACCAAAAAUAAUUAAUUGGUAAAAAAUAAAGUUAUAGGAUAGUGAAAAUAAUGAUAGUAGCUAUAUCUGAUAGUUACAACUAAAAUAUGUGCCAGCAGUUGCGGUUAGACAUAGGUAGCAAGUAUUAGUCAUAUUGGUUUAAAGGAUCCGUAGAAUUUAUAUAAAAAAAGAUAUAUAGAGUUAAUAAAAGUAAUAAAUGAAUUAUAAAAGUAAUGAUGAAAUAUUAUAAUAUUUAUAGGACAGACUAGUUCGAAAGUUUUUAUUAUUUAUUAACUGACAUUGAGGGAUGAAGGCUAAAGUAAUGACAUGGAUUCGAUACCCAAUUAAUUUUAGCAGUAAACUAUGAAUACCAUUUAUUAUUAAAAUAAAAAAAAUAAUAAAUAAGAGAAAUCAAUAGUAUUCCACCAGGAGAGUAUAAUUACUAAAUUAAAACCCAAUACAAUAGACGGUUAUAAUCAAUAGCAGUGGAGUAUGUUAUUUAAU
This 563-nucleotide ribosomal RNA is filed under the name Phaffomyces orbus. RNAcentral's name for it is "[Candida] orba partial small subunit ribosomal RNA". It matches the Rfam family "Bacterial small subunit ribosomal RNA", at positions 359 to 950 of the family's 1533-position model. The record is from RNAcentral. Lineage: Eukaryota; Fungi; Ascomycota; Saccharomycetes; Phaffomycetales; Phaffomycetaceae.